AUAAUGGGUCAGCGACUUAUAUUCUGUAGCAAGGUUAACCGAAUAGGGGAGCCGAAGGGAAACCGAGUCUUAACUGGGCGUUAAGUUGCAGGGUAUAGACCCGAAACCCGGUGAUCUAGCCAUGGGCAGGUUGAAGGUUGGGUAACACUAACUGGAGGACCGAACCGACUAAUGUUGAAAAAUUAGCGGAUGACUUGUGGCUGGGGGUGAAAGGCCAAUCAAACCGGGAGAUAGCUGGUUCUCCCCGAAAGCUAUUUAGGUAGCGCCUCGUGAAUUCAUCUCCGGGGGUAGAGCACUGUUUCGGCAAGGGGGUCAUCCCGACUUACCAACCCGAUGCAAACUGCGAAUACCGGAGAAUGUUAUCACGGGAGACACACGGCGGGUGCUAACGUCCGUCGUGAAGAGGGAAACAACCCAGACCGCCAGCUAAGGUCCCAAAGUCAUGGUUAAGUGGGAAACGAUGUGGGAAGGCCCAGACAGCCAGGAUGUUGGCUUAGAAGCAGCCAUCAUUUAAAGAAAGCGUAAUAGCUCACUGGUCGAGUCGGCCUGCGCGGAAGAUGUAACGGGGCUAAACCAUGCACCGAAGCUGCGGCAGCGACGCUGAUGCGUUGUUGGGUAGGGGAGCGUUCUGUAAGCCUGUGAAGGUGUGCUGUGAGGCAUGCUGGAGGUAUCAGAAGUGCGAAUGCUGACAUAAGUAACGAUAAAGCGGGUGAAAAGCCCGCUCGCCGGAAGACCAAGGGUUCCUGUCCAACGUUAAUCGGGGCAGGGUGAGUCGACCCCUAAGGCGAGGCCGAAAGGCGUAGUCGAUGGGAAACAGGUUAAUAUUCCUGUACUUGGUGUUACUGCGAAGGGGGGACGGAGAAGGCUAUGUUGGCCGGGCGACGGUUGUCCCGGUUUAAGCGUGUAGGCUGGUUUUCCAGGCAAAUCCGGAAAAUCAAGGCUGAGGCGUGAUGACGAGGCACUACGGUGCUGAAGCAACAAAUGCCCUGCUUCCAGGAAAAGCCUCUAAGCAUCAGGUAACAUCAAAUCGUACCCCAAACCGACACAGGUGGUCAGGUAGAGAAUACCAAGGCGCUUGAGAGAA
This 1084-nucleotide ribosomal RNA is filed under the name Escherichia coli. RNAcentral describes it as "partial 23S ribosomal RNA". It matches the Rfam family "Bacterial large subunit ribosomal RNA", at positions 612 to 1698 of the family's 2925-position model. The record is from RNAcentral. Lineage: Bacteria; Pseudomonadati; Pseudomonadota; Gammaproteobacteria; Enterobacterales; Enterobacteriaceae.